CGUACAUGACAGUAAGGGUUCUGCUGAUCCCAAAGAGAAUGAGGUUCAUGUCAGAGGACAUGCAAAGUCAUCACAAAUAAAAUUCAUGUUUGUGUUUCCAGCUUAAUUGCUCAGGGUUAAAAGGAAAAUAAUAGAAAUGAGGCUGUGUUUGCAUAAAGCGUGAAACUUUGUCCUGGGAACUUUUGUCCUCCUAAUAAUUCCCAGCAAUGUGGACAUUAGAAGGUUACGGACUGUGUGGCAUUUUCACAGAAAGAGCAAAGGGAACCAAUUUAGAAGGGUACAUGAAAAUGCAGUAGCAAACAUUUGGAGGGUAAAGAAGAAAGACACCACAUGUGCUGUGCCCUCCUACAUCUGCUCCACCUCCCUUGCCAUGAAAGCUGACUCACUUCAGGUGAUCUCCUUCCUCGAUUGUCUCAAUCUGAGAAAGAAGAGGUGUGUGAAGAAGGGUCAUCAACUGUUUAAAUGACAUCCUCUCCACUUCCGGGGGAGAAAACUGACCCACAGUAUGCUAUGUACCACGAAGAAUCACAACAAUUUUUAGGAAAAUAUGGGGUUAUGUAAGUCAAUUAUCUUUCACUUGCAAUCAAUGA
Long non-coding RNA from Pan paniscus (pygmy chimpanzee), 590 nucleotides. NCBI's taxonomy places the organism in Eukaryota, Metazoa, Chordata, Mammalia, Primates, Hominidae. The record is from Ensembl.